GUUCUCACUGGAUUAGGAUAUCUAUCAGCUAUUAAGUAAUUGAAGCAUCCUGCACAAUGUACUGCAAAAAGAGUAACCUGCAGAAUUUACUCAAAAGUACCGAGUAUAACAUAGUUAAGAUGGAGGUGCUGACCUAGCUGCAAUCCUUUUUGGAUUAUCCACUAGAAGAUACGAUUUCUGAUCCAGAUAUGCUAUAAAAAAAGUGAGAAUGAUAUCUAUUGCGAAGAUGCUAUCGACAAUGUUCUCAACAAGAAAAAGUUCCCACGAGAGAUAUCUCAGAAAUGCUAGUUCAAAUGGGCAGAUCCAUGCUGAGUAAACAACAAGAACAAGCAACAACGUCUCCCAGAUUCUGAUGAGGUGUGCUGGUUACAGAAAAUUUAGACAAGGCUGUGUCAAUGAAGCUGUGUGUGACAACUAAUAAUAAAAAAGGAGGUUCCUUUCUUGGAGAGUGAAGAAAUUGUUCAGAUUAGAUGACUUUGGUCUGGGCGUUCGGCCUUCCUCACAAGUCACAACCCACUAACUGCCUUCCAGAUGCUGAUCUUUUGUCACAGGCUGCCUGUGGGUGUGCACCUUUGCUAGAAGCCUGGCUCAAGACUUGGCUGACAUUUGUUGUACCUUUUACUUCAUCACAUGUAGCUAACUCGUGAUCCUGGAUUCUAGAGAUGAGCACCUGGAAAUGAAAAUGUUGAUUGGUGAAGAA
Panicum hallii is the source of this 700-nucleotide long non-coding RNA. RefSeq lists it as uncharacterized. The record is from RefSeq and is a predicted model, not a curated record. NCBI's taxonomy places the organism in Eukaryota, Viridiplantae, Streptophyta, Magnoliopsida, Poales, Poaceae. The transcript has 3 exons.